AUUGAACGCUGGCGGCAUGCUUUACACAUGCAAGUCGAACGGUAACGGGCCGCAAGGUGCUGACGAGUGGCGCACGGGUGAGUAAUGCAUCGGAACGUGCCCAGUCGUGGGGGAUAACUACUCGAAAGAGUAGCUAAUACCGCAUACGAUCUAUGGAUGAAAGCGGGGGACCGUAAGGCCUCGCGCGAUUGGAGCGGCCGAUGUCAGAUUAGGUAGUUGGUGGGGUAAAGGCUCACCAAGCCAACGAUCUGUAGCUGGUCUGAGAGGACGACCAGCCACACUGGGACUGAGACACGGCCCAGACUCCUACGGGAGGCAGCAGUGGGGAAUUUUGGACAAUGGGCGCAAGCCUGAUCCAGCAAUGCCGCGUGCAGGAAGAAGGCCUUCGGGUUGUAAACUGCUUUUGUACGGAACGAAACGGCUCUGGUUAAUACCCGGGGCUAAUGACGGUACCGUAAGAAUAAGCACCGGCUAACUACGUG
Molecule: ribosomal RNA, 482 nt
Filed under: uncultured bacterium
Lineage: Bacteria
Description: partial 16S ribosomal RNA
Rfam family: Bacterial small subunit ribosomal RNA
Source: RNAcentral